GAUGAACGCUGGCGGCGUGCCUAAUACAUGCAAGUCGAGCGAACGGACGAGAAGCUUGCUUCUCUGAUGUUAGCGGCGGACGGGUGAGUAACACGUGGAUAACCUACCUAUAAGACUGGGAUAACUUCGGGAAACCGUAGCUAAUACCGGAUAAUAUUUUGAACCGCAUGGUUCAAAAGUGAAAGACGGUCUUGCUGUCACUUAUAGAUGGAUCCGCGCUGCAUUAGCUAGUUGGUAAGGUAACGGCUUACCAAGGCAACGAUGCAUAGCCGACCUGAGAGGGUGAUCGGCCACACUGGAACUGAGACACGGUCCAGACUCCUACGGGAGGCAGCAGGAGGGAAUCUUCCGCAAUGGGCGAAAGCCUGACGGAGCAACGCCGCGUGAGUGAUGAAGGUCUUCGGAUCGUAAAACUCUGUUAUUAGGGAAGAACAUAUGUGUAAGUAACUGUGCACAUCUGGACGGUACCUAAUCAGAAAGCCACGGCUAACUACGU
Molecule: ribosomal RNA, 496 nt
Filed under: uncultured bacterium
Lineage: Bacteria
Description: partial 16S ribosomal RNA
Rfam family: Bacterial small subunit ribosomal RNA
Source: RNAcentral